Molecule: long non-coding RNA, 606 nt
Organism: Dufourea novaeangliae
Lineage: Eukaryota; Metazoa; Arthropoda; Insecta; Hymenoptera; Halictidae
Exons: 3
Source: RefSeq, a predicted model, not a curated record
AUACACGUGACUAAUGAACGGACGAACGCGAUUGUAAAUUUACUAACCUAAAACACCUGCCGACGGUGACCCAUUUCGGAGCACGACCAACGACGACAUUUUUCAAGAUCCUGGCGCUGCAAAACUUCACCAAAAUACUCGAGCUCAUUUCGAAUAAUGACAAUCCGAUCGGUCAAUAACACAGUGAUCACGACCGUCAAUUUUUGUUUUCCUUCCACCGGAAGAUCAAUAUCCGAAUGAUUCACUCGUCGAGACACGCACCUAUUGCUCGAAGCAAAUAAACGUAAUACAAUGGAAAUAUACGUUAAACUGAGCGAGAACUUGCCCCCGUUGCUCGAAAUUUAUGGAACUUCGACACUGGCGACGAGACGCAAAUCACACAAAAGAUCAACGGACUCUCGACUGGUCCACCAUAAUAUAGAGCGGCAGAUAUUUCGUGCGUCAGAUGGCCAUAUUAAAGAUAAAGGGCCUUUUUCAAGAUUCUAGCACAACAUUAUAGUCAAGAAAACUUUGUUCAAAAGUUCUUAAUUUCUUAACAAUAAGUCAACAACAAAAUAGCACGGUAUUUCGCAAUUAUUUUGGGAAUUGAAAUCCAACUAUAGUUAC